This is a non-coding RNA of Shewanella benthica KT99, 114 nucleotides long. The record is from Rfam. NCBI's taxonomy places the organism in Bacteria, Pseudomonadati, Pseudomonadota, Gammaproteobacteria, Alteromonadales, Shewanellaceae.
CCAUCUGUAUCACCAGAUGACCCUAGAAUCCUGAAUAAAGUAGCGGAUCUGACAAUGUAACGAAGUUCGAUAAAUUCAUCGAGCGGGAACAGCCAGAAGCAUGUCGUAACUCGU